GGACAGAUGGCCGAGCUGGUUAUGGCGCCAGGUUAAGGUAAUACCACAAUUCCUGGUCACGAAAGUGGCGUGGGUUCGAGUCCCACUCUGUUCA
RNAcentral lists this transfer RNA (94 nucleotides) under Blumeria graminis f. sp. tritici. It matches the Rfam family "tRNA". From Rfam's summary of the family: Transfer RNA (tRNA) molecules are approximately 80 nucleotides in length. RNAcentral also lists the same sequence under 1 other name. The record is from Rfam by way of RNAcentral. Lineage: Eukaryota; Fungi; Ascomycota; Leotiomycetes; Helotiales; Erysiphaceae.